RNAcentral lists this ribosomal RNA (492 nucleotides) under uncultured bacterium. RNAcentral's name for it is "partial 16S ribosomal RNA". It matches the Rfam family "Bacterial small subunit ribosomal RNA", at positions 30 to 507 of the family's 1533-position model. The record is from RNAcentral.
AGUGAACGCUGGCGGUAGGCCUAACACAUGCAAGUCGAACGGCAGCACAGUAAGAGCUUGCUCUUACGGGUGGCGAGUGGCGGACGGGUGAGGAAUACAUCGGAAUCUACUUUUUCGUGGGGGAUAACGUAGGGAAACUUACGCUAAUACCGCAUACGACCUACGGGUGAAAGCAGGGGAUCUUCGGACCUUGCGCGAUUGAAUGAGCCGAUGUCGGAUUAGCUAGUUGGCGGGGUAAAGGCCCACCAAGGCGACGAUCCGUAGCUGGUCUGAGAGGAGGGUCGCCCGCACGGGAGCGGGAACGGGGACAAGAGUCCUGAGGGACGCACCAGAGGGGUAUGGGGGGCAGCGGGGGCGAGCAUUGCACAACGGGCGGGCGUGGGAGAAAGCGACGUUGGGUUUGGAAUGCCGUUUUUUGGGGAAAAAAACGCAGUAGCUUAUGACCAAGCGUUAGUGACGGUACCGAAUAAAGAAGCACCGGCUAACUACGUG